Molecule: transfer RNA, 72 nt
Filed under: Apophysomyces ossiformis
Lineage: Eukaryota; Fungi; Mucoromycota; Mucoromycetes; Mucorales; Mucoraceae
Rfam family: tRNA
About the family: Transfer RNA (tRNA) molecules are approximately 80 nucleotides in length. Their secondary structure includes four short double-helical elements and three loops (D, anti-codon, and T loops).
Source: Rfam by way of RNAcentral
GGGGUCAUAGCUCAGUGGUAGAGCAGGGGAUUGCAGAUCCCAAGGUCCCGUGUUCAAACCACGGUGGUCCCU